UCUUUAUUUCCGCUUUCCCUCUCAUUUCUUUUUCCCAACCCACUUUCCCUCUCAUUCUACUAAACUCUACAUAUCUAACCAAACCCUAACUCCCUCUCUUUUUCAAGCAAAGUUUCGGGGUUCUCAGAAUUCCCCCCAUCGUGACAUUCGUCACCACAGAAAAGCUAGAUGAAGAAAGGUUUGCGAAACUUUGGAGCGAGAAACUGAAAAUUCUCUCUUUUUUCACAGAUCAAAAUUUCUCUUUUAUUUUGUUUUUUAUUCCUACUCAUCUCAAGUCAGCUAAUGGUUGGUUCUGAUUCAGAUAUGGAGUAUGGAUUCGUGUGCUCAGACGAGGUGCCCUGUGAACAUGACUUUGAUUUUGAGAACCGAUACUACAACUCCAGAGAUCCUUAGGACACGUGCUCGUAAGAAUGUUGUCGUGAGUGAAAUCAAGGUCAACGUUUGCAUAUAUGGUUUUUAUAUCUUGUAUCUUAAUGGACAACCACUUCUUUAAGAGCAACUUAACGUUUGCAGAAGGUGCAGAUUCACCUCUCCCCACGACCAGAACACCAGAGAUGCACAACACGUGGGCCUUGUCUAACGAACGACGACUUUCGAUUCUUCACUUCAAGGAGUAGAGUCGCUGCCCAACCCUACCUAUAUAAAAGAAAAAGAAUCAAUCACUAGGUCUCGAGCAAUUCUACAUUCUUUCCAUUGGAGUCAAGGAAGGUUGUGGACAAGCUAGAAUAAAGGUAUUGAGAAAUUAAGAAGUCUUUAGGAGAAAAGAUGAUGUUAGAGAUCCUAGUUGGUAAAUGAAGGUCAAUCAAAGCAAUUCCAUAAAGGUAUUGAGAAAUUAAGAAGUCUUUAGAAGAAAAGAUGAUGUUAGAGAUCCUAGUUGGUAAAUGAAGGUCAAUCAAAGCAAUUCCAUAAAGGUAUUGAGAAAUUAAGAAGUCUUUAGAAGAAAAGAUGAUGUUAGAGAUCCUAGUUGGUAAAUGAAGGUCAAUCAAAGCAAUUCCAUAAAGGUAUUGAGAAAUUAAGAAGUCUUUAGAAGAAAAGAUGAUGUUAGAGAUCCUAGUUGGUAAAUGAAGGUCAAUCAAAGCAAUUCCAUAAAGGUAUUGAGAAAUUAAGAAGUCUUUAGAAGAAAAGAUGAUGUUAGAGAUCCUAGUUGGUAAAUGAAGGUCAAUCAAAGCAAUUCCAUAAAGGUAUUGAGAAAUUAAGAAGUCUUUAGGAGAAAAGAUGAUGUUAGAGAUCCUAGUUGGUAAAUGAAGGUCAAUCAAAGCAAUUCCAUCAGCAGAUCUAUCAAAUGAGUUGAGAAAUUUUCUUUCGCUUCCAAAACAAGUGGAAAGAGCUCACAAGAAAGGAGAUCGAUGCAAUAGUGAUUUGAUUAUGUUGUACUUUUUUAGACAAUCAUAUUUUUAUUGUAGAACAUUAGUUCAUCAUAAAUGUGACAAAAAAUAGACUUUACUUAGAAUUUCCUUAUCAAUAAUAUAAUAUUUUCUUUGACAAUGAA
Nicotiana tabacum (common tobacco) is the source of this 1489-nucleotide long non-coding RNA. RefSeq lists it as uncharacterized. Lineage: Eukaryota; Viridiplantae; Streptophyta; Magnoliopsida; Solanales; Solanaceae. The record is from RefSeq and is a predicted model, not a curated record.